RNAcentral lists this ribosomal RNA (22 nucleotides) under Epicoccum sp. RNAcentral describes it as "partial 18S ribosomal RNA". The record is from RNAcentral. Lineage: Eukaryota; Fungi; Ascomycota; Dothideomycetes; Pleosporales; Didymellaceae.
GGUAUCAGUGGUCAUUUAGAGG